AUGGAUAUUGACAUUGGUAGUGAGAUGGAAAAUGAAGGUUCUGACAACUAUGACAUUGAAACAGAUUCUUCCCAAAGUGAAGAGCUAGAAUCUGAAGAUGAAACAAACCAGUCA
Molecule: long non-coding RNA, 114 nt
Organism: Xenia sp. Carnegie-2017
Lineage: Eukaryota; Metazoa; Cnidaria; Anthozoa; Malacalcyonacea; Xeniidae
Exons: 2
Source: RefSeq, a predicted model, not a curated record